RNAcentral lists this long non-coding RNA (226 nucleotides) under Actinidia chinensis (golden kiwifruit). RNAcentral describes it as "long non-coding RNA (ACHI_LNC001270)". Lineage: Eukaryota; Viridiplantae; Streptophyta; Magnoliopsida; Ericales; Actinidiaceae. The record is from RNAcentral.
CAAAUAAAAUCUCGCUCAUGGCCUGGUGCAAGCAUUCAUUUUCCACAGAAAAUGAUAUAAUCCUUCGUCCUCCUGAACAGUCACAGAAUCAUGUUGUGGCCCUAUAUCUGAGUCACAUCUGAACUCCAAGCCUUCCGUUGCUAAUCGUUUUGUACAAAACUUGUUUCAAUUACAAGACGACGUCUAUCAUCUCUUCCUACAACUUAAACUAUGUUUCGCUUGUAAU